AGCGCUUACGUGCAAGGGCAAGGUCGUUUUGAUGUGGUGUGACGAUUUCUAGCGAAAUAGGACAAGUUUUAAUCCAUUUCACUCCUUCGUUGAUAUUCAAGCGUAGAAUUACUGGGAAUUAACCGAUGAGCUUUUUAGUGUCUCUGGCAUUCUCAUUUUUAUGUGAAUCUGACUCGAGUAUAGGUAAUACAGAAUGUGGAGAUUGUCCAGCUGACGAAGAUCCAAGUGUGAAAUACACCGAACCGUCCAGAAUAUCCAGAGUUAUCUCUGAAAUACAAGAUAUCAAACAAUCCCUCAUCCUACAUGUGGAACGAAAGAGCCUGGAAACUGCAGUUAUUCUGGUUGCCAUAGCAAUGACAAUAUUAAUUUUGGGAUCAUUUAUUCAAUGGUGGCGUAAAGGACAUCCAGUUCUUACAGAUUAUGUUUUGUUACAUCCAGAAGAUAAAGAAUAUGAUAAAGAUUUAUUUUUAAAACAAAGUUUUAAGGAAAAGCUUCAAAAAGAUACAAAAACGGAACGAAUCAAAUAGAAAUGAGAACAUAUUUUUUCCUGUAAAACAUUUCUGUGAUGUAUAUAAUUAAUAUAUUAUUAUGAUUUGGAGCGAAUGUUGACAUUAUAGAAAAAUAAAAAUAAAAUAGAUUUAUGAAUGAUUUUAUAUUUUUUAAAUAUAUUUUCUGUUUGAAUUGUAAAAUAGAUUGAAUAUUAUUAUAUUAUACAUAGUAUAUAUUUCAAGGUGUUCAAGACCAAUUUAACUACAGUGGUACUAUUAUUCAGCAUGCUUAUUGAUGCAUCAAACUGCUGUCUAUUGUCAGUGUUGUAUUGUCCCACAUUAACCAACAAUUGAUGAAAAUUGGAUGUUCUAUUAAGACCCAGGUUGGAAAAAUGGCUGUCAGAUCAAAACAGUAGGAUGUUAAACCCCAUUUUAUUCACAAAAAGAGAACCAUCUUAUAUGGAAAUUAACCCCACUUUAAACAUAUCAUGAUACUGCUACUUGUUAUAAUAAGAAAAGGGAACCAUCUUGAAAUCAACCCCUACCAGAAAUCCUGGUACUGCUACACAUGGUUAAUCAAGGGUUUGUUAUUUCUAAAUAAUAAAUAUUGCUAUACAGAUAUAUAAAAUAGUAUAAUACAAUAUAAGUGAUUUGAUGUGUCAAUAAGUCAUUAUUUGUAGUAAUUUCCAUAAAUAUUGUAGGUUAUCUCCCUUCAACUAUAUACCUAAACCUACUGCUAACUAUAUAUACUGUACACCUUUUUCUUUUAGACCUGUAUUUUUAUUCAGCUAGAUACAAAAACACUAUUUUUUGUGAGUCAUAGACAAAAUAAUGAAAAAAUCUGAUGCUAUAAUUAGUUCUUUUGAUUUUUUAUAAACAAUAUCUUAUUAAUAAAUGAAUAGAAUUGGAGAACUGGCAUGACCUAUUUACCCUUAGACCUUUUCAUUAAAUUAAAAUAGAUAUUGAAAUCUUUCAUAAUGAUUUCAAGGAGGACAUUAUUGCAGUUCUUUUCCCCCAAAAGGCAUAAUUCUUCAAACCGUUUCAUUGCUAAAUCAAUAAUAAACUAUUAAAAUCUGAAUGAUUUUGUAGAAAAUAAGGUUGUGACUAUUGUGAGCCAUUGGAAAUUACGAGAAACUACCUACUCUUAUGUCUUUCCUUUUAUUAUAUAUGUGUAUGUAUUUUCAUUAUGUAAGGCACUUGUGACCAUAUGCAAAUUGAAAUUCGAUAUAGGCUCCUAAACUGUAAAUCUUCUUUAUUUAUAAAAUAAUUUAUCCUCACCUCUGCUCAUAUGAUGUACAUGUACUGUGUGAUUUUAUCUUCUGAAAAGACAAAAAUAAUUGGAAAAUUUGGCUGAUAUUAAUUAUAAAGUAUUAAGAGUGAAGGUCACUGACAAUUAUACCCAAGAGAGAAAUUUUAAAACAAAGUAGACCACUGAGAAUAAUUUUAUAGGCUAAAGAUUUGUACUGUAAUUUGUAUAUAGCUAGUUUGACCCUCAAACUUACAUUAUUAGAGCAUGUUGAUUUUCAAACUGUAUGGGGCCAGGCAUUGGUAUAUUUGUCCAUAUAACCACAAUGACAUUUCAUCAUGUAAGAUUAGUUCAUUUUCUGUUUGCUUAUAAAAUAUACUGUGCUUUGGCUUUUGAUGCAUAUGGAUGACAAAUUAUUUUUGGAUUUUAAUUCAUAUUGGCUAUCCAUAUGCAUAUGUUUUUACCAUUCCUCCAUCUAGGUCAAUUAUAAAAUUAAAGAUUUAGAUUCUUGGUAAUAUAAUGUUGCCUGUUUAAUUUUGCAAUAAUAUUUAUCAUGGAUCCUUUUCAAAAAUUGUACUUGAUGCUAUUAGUUGACAGACCUUUAAUGUGCAUAAACUAUAUAAAAUUAUUUAUCUUUUUUGAUGAGACUAGAUGAUAUCUGUGUCUCAGGGAUAUACCUCAAAAUCAUUCAACCAUGUAGUCUCAUUAAAAUACCCUCCUACAUGUAUUAUUUCAUGAUUACUCAACAGUUCUUUGUUAUGCUUAAAAUAAAUAAUAAUAUAUAUAAAUAUG
Molecule: long non-coding RNA, 2526 nt
Organism: Patella vulgata (common limpet)
Lineage: Eukaryota; Metazoa; Mollusca; Gastropoda; Patellidae
Exons: 3
Source: RefSeq, a predicted model, not a curated record